This is a non-coding RNA of Mus musculus (house mouse), 346 nucleotides long. The record is from the annotation of a RefSeq genome assembly. NCBI's taxonomy places the organism in Eukaryota, Metazoa, Chordata, Mammalia, Rodentia, Muridae.
AUAGAUAUUAAUGUGCAGAUUUUCAGGUUCCUGCUAAUCAGUGUCACAGUAUCCAGUGGAGGAAUUGUGCUCACCCAAUCUCCAACAACCAUGACUGCAUUUCCAGGGGAAAAUGUCACCAUCACCUGCAGUGCCAGCUCAAGUAUAAAUUACAUUCACUGGUACCAGCAGAAGUCAGGAAAUACCCCCAAACAAUGAAUUUAUAAGACAUCCGACCUGCCUUCUGGAGUCCCAACUCUCUUCAGUGGCAGUGGGUCUGGGACCUCUUACUCUCUCACAAUCAGCAGUGUGGAGGCUGAAGAUGCUGCCACUUAUUACUGCCAGCAGUGGAGUGGUUACCAACCCA